UCCACAUUGACUCUGUACCGGUACCCCCUGUAUAUAGCCUCCACACUGACUCUGUACCGGUACCCCCUGUAUAUAGCCUCCACAUUGACUCUGUACCGGUACCCCCUGUAUAUAGCCUCCACACUGACUCUGUACCGGUACCCCCUGUAUAUAGCCUCCACAUUGACCCUGUACCGGUACCCCCCUGUAUAUAGCCUCCACACUGACUCUGUACUGGUACCCCCUGUAUAUAGCCUCCACAUUGACUCUGUACCGGUACCCCCUGUAUAUAGCCUCCACAUUGACCCUGUACCGGUACCCCCUGUAUAUAGCCUCCACACUGACUCUGUACCGUACCACCCUGUAUAUAGCCUCCACAUUGUUAUUUACUUAUUAUUUAUUUACUCUUUAAUUACUUGUGACUGAUUCAUUUUUUUUUAAAUUUAAACUGCAUUGUUGGUUAGGGAC
Molecule: long non-coding RNA, 447 nt
Filed under: Salmo salar (Atlantic salmon)
Lineage: Eukaryota; Metazoa; Chordata; Actinopteri; Salmoniformes; Salmonidae
Description: lncRNA (ENSSSAG00000086326.1)
Source: RNAcentral